UGAUGUUGGUGCUAUGGCAGUAGAAGUUGAACCUUCCCACCAGUAUUCCAUUCCAUUUUGUUGCUAUGUGACAGAUGGCAGCAGAGGGGCACUCUGACAAAAUGGCACCUGACAUAGAGGGAUGAAGCAAACUUGUGUUGAAAAAGAGUGUUUUGUAGCUGAGAACUGGCUCUACCAAACAGUGGUGCUCAGGAUGCUGCAGUUGAAAGUGAAGAAGCAUUGUUUGAGACAGCGUACUUGACAAUAUUCUCAGAAAUCCUUGAUUCUAUCCCACUAUUUCACACCACUGAGAGCAUGAAGACAGUACAUCAUGGAAGUGCAAAUCCUGCACAAGGAAGAUUGUAUUGGUUCAUUAUUUAAAUCUGCAUUUUCCUACAGACUCAACAAGAGCAUGUACUAAGCAAAACCAGUGCAGCCUGCAGGAGCUGAGCAGGACUUAAAAUGAGCUGCCUCUCUCACCAGCCAGAAAUUGGUGUAUUUCAAGCAGAGACAUCCCUCACCCUGCCCCUAAGAAGCAGUGAGGCUGCAAGCACUACAGCAAUACAAAUUCCUAGUUACAAAUUCUGUGAGCACAGAUCAGUUACCCCAAGAGAGAUUUGGCUCUGGUCUCCUUUCUUGGCUCCUCAUCCUGAGGGACCCAGCUACCAUGGUUUCAAAAGCAGGGUUCAGGGCUCAGCUGGCAUCCCUGCUGCUGGGUAGAAAGACAUUGUGCUGUGUAUCACUUAUUUUUUGUACUUUUUUUGUUCUGUUUUGUUUCUGUUUGCUCUAAUUUCAACCCCUUUUCUAUUGAGCUGUCUUUAUCCCCACCCAUGAGUUUUACUUUUGUUUUUGCCUAAUUCUCUCCCUGUCCCCCCGAGUCCCUGCAUGGUAUGGAGCUGCCUGCCAGGUUAAACCACAGCAGAAAUGUACCAGACAGAAAGGUAAACAAAGCUUGCAGAACCAGUGGAAAAUAAAAGAUGAUGAAUUGUGAUAACUACUUUAAAU
RNAcentral lists this long non-coding RNA (984 nucleotides) under Gallus gallus (chicken). Its description in RNAcentral is "long non-coding RNA NONGGAT011745". The record is from RNAcentral. Lineage: Eukaryota; Metazoa; Chordata; Aves; Galliformes; Phasianidae.